AGUGAACGCUGGCGGCAGGCCUAAUACAUGCAAGUCGAACGGCAGCACAGCAGAGCUUGCUCUGUGGGUGGCGAGUGGCGGACGGGUGAGGAAUACAUGGGAAUCUGCCCAGUCGUGGGGGAUAACGUAUGGAAACGUACGCUAAUACCGCAUGCGCCCUAAGGGGGAAAGCCGGGGACCGCAAGGCCUGGCGCGAUUGGAUGAGCCCAUGUUCGAUUAGCUAGUUGGCGGGUAAAGGCCCACCAAGGCGACGAUCGAUAGCUGGUCUGAGAGGAUGAUCAGCCACACUGGAACUGAGACACGGUCCAGACUCCUACGGGAGGCAGCAGUAGGGAAUAUUGGACAAUGGGGGCAACCCUGAUCCAGCCAUGCCGCGUGAGUGAAGAAGGCCCUCGGGUUGUAAAGCUCUUUUGUCCGGAAAGAAAAGCAAUCGGUUAAUACCCGGUUGUUCUGACGGUACCGGAAGAAUAAGCACGGCUAACUUCGUGCCAGC
This 493-nucleotide ribosomal RNA is filed under the name uncultured bacterium. RNAcentral's name for it is "bacterial SSU rRNA". It matches the Rfam family "Bacterial small subunit ribosomal RNA", at positions 29 to 512 of the family's 1533-position model. The record is from RNAcentral.